Molecule: ribosomal RNA, 469 nt
Filed under: uncultured bacterium
Lineage: Bacteria
Description: partial 16S ribosomal RNA
Rfam family: Bacterial small subunit ribosomal RNA
Source: RNAcentral
GACGAACGCUGGCGGCGUGCUUAACACAUGCAAGUCGAACGGAAAGGCUCCAGCUUGCUGGAGUACUCGAGUGGCGAACGGGUGAGUAACACGUGGGUGAUCUGCCCUGCACUUCGGGAUAAGCCUGGGAAACUGGGUCUAAUACCGGAUAGGACCGCACUUUGGUGUGUGUGGUGGAAAGGUUUUUUCUGGUGUGGGAUGAGCUCGCGGCCUAUCAGUUUGUUGGUGGGGUAAUGGCCUACCAAGACGGCGACGGGUAGCCGGCCUGAGAGGGUGGACGGUCACAUUGGGACUGAGAUACGGCCCAGACUCCUACGGGAGGCAGCAGUGGGGAAUAUUGCACAAUGGGGGAAACCCUGAUGCAGCGACGCCGCGUGGGGGAUGAAGGCCUUCGGGUUGUAAACUCCUUUCGCUAGGGACGAAGCUUUUUGUGACGGUACCUGGAGAAGAAGCACCGGCUAACUACGUG